RNAcentral lists this long non-coding RNA (213 nucleotides) under Mytilus galloprovincialis (Mediterranean mussel). Lineage: Eukaryota; Metazoa; Mollusca; Bivalvia; Mytilida; Mytilidae. The record is from RNAcentral.
UUUUAUAGUUCGUUCUUAUGUUGCACUGUAAUACCACUGUCCCAGGUUAGGGGAGGGUUGGGAUCCCGCUAACAUGUUUAACCCCGCCACAUUAUUUAUGUAUGUGCCUGUCCCAAGUCAGGAGCCUGUAAUUCAGUGGUUGUCGUUUGUUUAUGUGUUACAUAUUUGUUUUUCGUUCAUUUUUUUUUUUACAUAAAUAAAGCCAGUAGUUUU